GGGCUUUGGCGCCAGAGGGCUGCCCCUCGGCCGGUGACCGAGUUAAGCACCGAGCUGUAAAUCGCUUGAGACCUGUAUUUGGUUGUUUUGUUGGUUUUGCCAAGUAAGGUCACUUGAGGAUUUCUUGGCUCGAGGUCCCAGGUUGCGCAGACUCUGACUGCAUCGAGUUGAGAAUUUUGGUCAGAAUGUUAAAGUGGAAACCUACCCCAGGCUGUCAUGACUUUUGCAUUCUGGUAACCAACUGAUCCUACCCGGACCCAUGAUGCAUAACUCAGCUGGUCCUGUGGCGCACACCCAGAGGCCGACUCAAUGCAUGAAGACUGUUUUCCACACCCCUAUGAUUUCAUCCCCAACCAAGCAGCAGCAUCCAUUCCCUAGCCCCCUGCCCACCAAAUUAUCCAUAAAAACUCUGGCUUCUGAGUUCUCAGCAAAACUGAUUUUAGUAAUAACUCCAGUUCUUCCACUUGGCUGGCCUUAGUUAAUUAAACUUAUUCUUUACUAUA
Molecule: long non-coding RNA, 503 nt
Filed under: Homo sapiens (human)
Lineage: Eukaryota; Metazoa; Chordata; Mammalia; Primates; Hominidae
Description: HSALNT0373334
Source: RNAcentral